UACGUAGGGACCGAGCGUUGUCCGGAAUCAUUGGGCGUAAAGAGCGUGUAGGCGGCCUUUUAAGUCCUGCGUGAAAUCCUGCGGCUCAACCGCAGACGGUCGUGGGAAACUGGAAGGCUAGAGUGCGGGAGAGGAGAGUGGAAUUCCCGGUGUAGCGGUGAAAUGCGCAGAUAUCGGGAAGAACACCCGUGGCGAAGGCGGCUCUCUGGAACGCAACUGACGCUGAGGCGCGAAAGCCAGGGGAGCGAACGGG
Molecule: ribosomal RNA, 253 nt
Filed under: uncultured bacterium
Lineage: Bacteria
Description: partial 16S ribosomal RNA
Rfam family: Bacterial small subunit ribosomal RNA
Source: RNAcentral